GAGGAAUCUUGCGCAAUGGGGGAAACCCUGACGCAGCAACGCCGCGUGAGUGAAGAAGGCCUUCGGGUCGUAAAGCUCUGUCGGGUGGGAAGAAACGUAUGGAGGUAAAUAAUCUUCAUACUUGACGGUACCGCCAAAGGAAGCACCGGCUAACUCCGUGCCAGCAGCCGCGGUAAUACGGGGGGUGCAAGCGUUGUUCGGAAUUAUUGGGCGUAAAGAGCGUGUAGGCGGCGUGAUAAGUCAGAUGUGAAAGCCCUGGGCUUAACCCAGGAAGUGCAUUUGAAACUGUCAUGCUUGAGUACGGGAGAGGGAAGAGGAAUUCCUGGUGUAGAGGUGAAAUUCGUAGAUAUCAGGAGGAACACCGGUGGCGAAGGCGACUUCCUGGCCCGAUACUGACGCUGAGACGCGAGAGCGUGGGGAGCAAAC
RNAcentral lists this ribosomal RNA (426 nucleotides) under uncultured bacterium. RNAcentral's name for it is "bacterial SSU rRNA". It matches the Rfam family "Bacterial small subunit ribosomal RNA", at positions 356 to 773 of the family's 1533-position model. The record is from RNAcentral.